Molecule: ribosomal RNA, 552 nt
Filed under: Bacillus tequilensis
Lineage: Bacteria; Bacillati; Bacillota; Bacilli; Caryophanales; Bacillaceae
Description: bacterial SSU rRNA
Rfam family: Bacterial small subunit ribosomal RNA
Source: RNAcentral
CGGACAGAUGGGAGCUUGCUCCCUGAUGUUAGCGGCGGACGGGUGAGUAACACGUGGGUAACCUGCCUGUAAGACUGGGAUAACUCCGGGAAACCGGGGCUAAUACCGGAUGCUUGUUUGAACCGCAUGGUUCAAACAUAAAAGGUGGCUUCGGCUACCACUUACAGAUGGACCCGCGGCGCAUUAGCUAGUUGGUGAGGUAAUGGCUCACCAAGGCAACGAUGCGUAGCCGACCUGAGAGGGUGAUCGGCCACACUGGGACUGAGACACGGCCCAGACUCCUACGGGAGGCAGCAGUAGGGAAUCUUCCGCAAUGGACGAAAGUCUGACGGAGCAACGCCGCGUGAGUGAUGAAGGUUUUCGGAUCGUAAAGCUCUGUUGUUAGGGAAGAACAAGUACCGUUCGAAUAGGGCGGUACCUUGACGGUACCUAACCAGAAAGCCACGGCUAACUACGUGCCAGCAGCCGCGGUAAUACGUAGGUGGCAAGCGUUGUCCGGAAUUAUUGGGCGUAAAGGGCUCGCAGGCGGUUUCUUAAGUCUGAUGUGAAAGC